Molecule: ribosomal RNA, 597 nt
Filed under: Triticum aestivum (bread wheat)
Lineage: Eukaryota; Viridiplantae; Streptophyta; Magnoliopsida; Poales; Poaceae
Description: partial small subunit ribosomal RNA
Source: RNAcentral
AUGUCUCCUCUUGAGCAUAUUUCGCGUGUUCAAUCGGUCAGAAAGGAGCAGCCAUCCAAAAACUUUAAUUUUCAUGGUGGAUUUUCCUCGUCCAAUGUUGCGGCUCUAAAGCCUAACAAGAAAAGUUUCAAAAAAAGUCCAAAGCCAAAUACUCUGCCACCACCACAAAAUGAUAAAGCUAAAAGGUCAAAGCCAAGAUCAUCUCAAGCAUCACAAGAUGACACUAAUAUGGAUGUGCUGCUCACAAGUACUUUGAUAGGCAUACGAGAAACCCUUGCAAGUCCAGUACAGACUGUAGCCCCAAAGGACCCAAAUGCUCCUUUAUGGGACAUGCUCAAGAAGAUUCCGUUGCCACCUGAUGAGAGGAUGUCGGUCGGGAUGCAUCUAUGCAAGCCAGAAUUUGCAGUCCAUCGAGGUUUUCUUGUCAACAUGGGUCAAGAAUACCUGGAGCGUUGGGUGUAUACAUACUUAUCUUAUCUGACAAUUAUCCUGCUGGCAAACGUGUCGGCGAUGAUCUUGUUGGUAACCUUGGAAACAAAGAUCCUGCUAGUAACCUUGGCGAUGAUCCUGCUGUUAACUCUAGCCCUUUCUGAGUAA